CCUACGGGCGGCAGCAGUGAGGAAUAUUGGUCAAUGGCCGGAAGGCUGAACCAGCCAAGCCGCGUGAAGGACGAAGGUGCCAAGCAUUGUAAACUUCUUUUAAGAGGGAAGAGCAGAAGACGGUACCUCUUGAAUAAGCCACGGCUAACUACGUGCCAGCAGCCGCGGUAAUACGUAGGUGGCAAGCGUUGUCCGGAUUUACUGGGUGUAAAGGGCGUGCAGCCGGGAAGACAAGUCAGAUGUGAAAUCCCGCGGCUCAACCGCGGAACUGCAUUUGAAACUGUUUUUCUUGAGUACCGGAGAGGUCAUCGGAAUUCCUUGUGUAGCGGUGAAAUGCGUAGAUAUAAGGAAGAACACCAGUGGCGAAGGCGGAUGACUGGACGGCAACUGACGGUGAGGCGCGAAAGCGUGGGGAGCAAACAGGAUUAGAUACCCGAGUAGUC
RNAcentral lists this ribosomal RNA (443 nucleotides) under uncultured bacterium. RNAcentral's name for it is "partial 16S ribosomal RNA". It matches the Rfam family "Bacterial small subunit ribosomal RNA", at positions 338 to 795 of the family's 1533-position model. The record is from RNAcentral.